UACGGGGGGGCAAGCGUUGUUCGGAAUUACUGGGCGUAAAGGGCGCGUAGGCGGCCUUCUAAGUCGGACGUGAAAUCCCUCGGCUUAACCGAGGAACUGCGUCCGAUACUGAAAGGCUUGAAUCCGGGAGAGGGAUGUGGAAUUCCAGGUGUAGCGGUGAAAUGCGCAGAUAUCAGGAAGAACACCCGUGGCGAAGGCGGCUCUCUGGGACGGUACUGACGCUGAGACGCGAAAGCGUGGGGAGCGAACAGG
Molecule: ribosomal RNA, 252 nt
Filed under: uncultured bacterium
Lineage: Bacteria
Description: partial 16S ribosomal RNA
Rfam family: Bacterial small subunit ribosomal RNA
Source: RNAcentral